Molecule: long non-coding RNA, 836 nt
Filed under: Populus trichocarpa (black cottonwood)
Lineage: Eukaryota; Viridiplantae; Streptophyta; Magnoliopsida; Malpighiales; Salicaceae
Description: long non-coding RNA (PTRI_LNC002947)
Source: RNAcentral
AUCAAUAGCUAGUCGCUUAAGUGGAACAACAACCUAUGCAACCUCAACCCCGCCAAAACUGAAAUCAUAUGCACCAACAGCUGAUCAGUUUGGACAUCACUAUCAUCAAGAAAGCAAGCAUGGCAAGAAGGUGAGAGGUGACUUUGUGCCAGUUUAUGUGGCAAUAGGGAUGAUAGCUGUAUCAAUAUCACUUGGUCUUUACACUGCCAAGCAACAAGUACUGUAUGCACCUAAUGUUCGCGUAAGGAAGAAGACUAGAGAGACCAUACCUGAAGUGGUUGAUCCAGAUAAAGUGGUGGAUGAAGCUGAUAAGUUCAUAAAGAAAUCAUUUUUCAGGAAAGUAGCACAUGUUCAAGAGUUUGAUCAUUAUGGACUUGAGUAUUUGCCUGAUCCUACUCGUAAAGAUGCUUUUGCACGUAAGCCUCGUGCUGAGACCCUUAAAGAUGUAGGGGUCGAUCCUAAACUACAGCUUUGAGCUGCUAUGGAAUACGCAUCUCUUCUUCUUUGGAAAGAUGGGAUCAACCCCUUUUUAGCUUAAGAGGGAGGCUCUAGGACCUCCUUGCUUAAUCAGCCAGUGUGAUUGUAAAUAGAAGUAAUUGAAAUAAUGUUGGUGUUUCUUCAAUUACCCUCCUUGAUCAUUGGAUAAUGUCAGUUCUCAUGUCUUAUCAGUCUGUGUCAACUGCUAGCUGGUUCCAAGCCUACAUGACGAGAUAAGGAUAGACUGUGCAAGACCAAUGCGGUAUGGUAUAGAUAAAGAAAGCUGUAUAGGGUUGGGUAGCUACACAAAAUAACGAAUGUAGAUGAGGCAAAAAAAAGAGGAGAAAUGUAAAGGAAAA